GACGGAGCAACCCCGCUUGAAUGAUGAGGUUUUUCGGAUCGUAAAGCUCUGUUGUUAGGGAAGAACAAGUGCGAGAGUAACUGCUCGCACCUUGACGGUACCUAACCAGAAAGCCACGGCUAACUACGUGCCAGCAGCCGCGGUAAUACGUAGGUGGCAAGCGUUGUCCGGAAUUAUUGGGCGUAAAGGGCUCGCAGGCGGUUUUCUAAGUCUGAUGUGAAAGCCCCCGGCUCAACCGGGGAGGGUCAUUGGAAACUGGGAAACUUGAGUGCAGAAGAGGAGAGUGGAAUUCCACGUGUAGCGGUGAAAUGCGUAGAGAUGUGGAGGAACACCAGUGGCGAAGGCGACUCUCUGGUCUGUAACUGACGCUGAGGAGCGAAAGCGUGGGGAGCGAACAGGAUUAGAUACCCUGGUAGUCCACGCCGUAAACGAUGAGUGCUAAGUGUUAGGGGGUUUCCGCCCCUUAGUGCUGCAGCUAACGCAUUAAGCACUCCGCCUGGGGAGUACGGUCGCAAGACUGAAACUCAAAGGAAUUGACGGGGGCCCGCACAAGCGGUGGAGCAUGUGGUUUAAUUCGAAGCAACGCGAAGAACCUUACCAGGUCUUGACAUCCUCUGACAACCCUAGAGAUAGGGCUUUCCCUUCGGGGACAGAGUGACAGGUGGUGCAUGGUUGUCGUCAGCUCGUGUCGUGAGAUGUUGGGUUAAGUCCCGCAACGAGCGCAACCCUUGAUCUUAGUUGCCAGCAUUCAGUUGGGCACUCUAAGGUGACUGCCGGUGACAAACCGGAGGAAGGUGGGGAUGACGUCAAAUCAUCAUGCCCCUUAUGACCUGGGCUACACACGUGCUACAAUGGACAGAACAAAGGGCUGCAAGACCGCAAGGUUUAGCCAAUCCCAUAAAUCUGUUCUCAGUUCGGAUCGCAGUCUGCAACUCGACUGCGUGAAGCUGGAAUCGCUAGUAAUCGCGGAUCAGCAUGCCGCGGUGAAUACGUUCCCGGGCCUUGUACACACCGCCCGUCACACCACGAGAGUUUGCUAACACCCGAAGUCGGUGAGGUAACCUUUAUGGAGCCA
RNAcentral lists this ribosomal RNA (1075 nucleotides) under Bacillus safensis. RNAcentral describes it as "bacterial SSU rRNA". It matches the Rfam family "Bacterial small subunit ribosomal RNA", at positions 385 to 1451 of the family's 1533-position model. Lineage: Bacteria; Bacillati; Bacillota; Bacilli; Caryophanales; Bacillaceae. The record is from RNAcentral.